UACGUAGGGUGCGAGCGUUAAUCGGAAUUACUGGGCGUAAAGCGUGCGCAGGCGGUCUGUUAAGACCGAUGUGAAAUCCCCGGGCUUAACCUGGGAACUGCAUUGGUGACUGGCAGGCUUUGAGUGUGGCAGAGGGAGGUAGAAUUCCACGUGUAGCAGUGAAAUGCGUAGAGAUGUGGAGGAAUACCGAUGGCGAAGGCAGCCUCCUGGGCCAACACUGACGCUCAUGCACGAAAGCGUGGGGAGCGAUCGGG
Molecule: ribosomal RNA, 254 nt
Filed under: uncultured bacterium
Lineage: Bacteria
Description: partial 16S ribosomal RNA
Rfam family: Bacterial small subunit ribosomal RNA
Source: RNAcentral